RNAcentral lists this ribosomal RNA (800 nucleotides) under Pseudomonas sp. RNAcentral describes it as "bacterial SSU rRNA". It matches the Rfam family "Bacterial small subunit ribosomal RNA", at positions 51 to 847 of the family's 1533-position model. The record is from RNAcentral. Lineage: Bacteria; Pseudomonadati; Pseudomonadota; Gammaproteobacteria; Pseudomonadales; Pseudomonadaceae.
ACACAUGCAGUCGAGCGGAAGAAGGGAGCUUGCUCCCGGAUUUAGCGGCGGACGGGUGAGUAACACCUGGGAAUCUGCCUGAUAGUGGGGGAUAACGUCCGGAAACGGGCGCUAAUACCGCGUACGUCCUACGGGAGAAAGCAGGGGAUCUUCGGACCUUGCGCUAUCAGAUGAGCCCAGGUCGGAUUAGCUUGUUGGUGAGGUAAUGGCUCACCAAGGCGACGAUCCGUAACUGGUCUGAGAGGAUGAUCAGUCACACUGGAACUGAGACACGGUCCAGACUCCUACGGGAGGCAGCAGUGGGGAAUAUUGGACAAUGGGGGCAACCCUGAUCCAGCCAUGCCGCGUGUGUGAAGAAGGUCUUCGGAUUGUAAAGCACUUUAAGUUGGGAGGAAGGGCUUUAGGCUAAUACCCUGAAGUUUUGACGUUACCGACAGAAUAAGCACCGGCUAACUCUGUGCCAGCAGCCGCGGUAAUACAGAGGGUGCAAGCGUUAAUCGGAAUUACUGGGCGUAAAGCGCGCGUAGGUGGUUCAGUAAGAUGGGUGUGAAAUCCCCGGGCUCAACCUGGGAACUGCAUCCAUAACUGCUGGGCUAGAGUACGGUAGAGGGUAGUGGAAUUUCCUGUGUAGCGGUGAAAUGCGUAGAUAUAGGAAGGAACACCAGUGGCGAAGGCGACUACCUGGACUGAUACUGACACUGAGGUGCGAAAGCGUGGGGAGCAAACAGGAUUAGAUACCCUGGUAGUCCACGCCGUAAACGAUGUCAACUAGCCGUUGGGAACCUUGAGUUCUUAGUGGC